This 680-nucleotide ribosomal RNA is filed under the name Lafoea sp. 1 XS-2020. RNAcentral's name for it is "SSU rRNA". It matches the Rfam family "Eukaryotic small subunit ribosomal RNA", at positions 439 to 1126 of the family's 1831-position model. Lineage: Eukaryota; Metazoa; Cnidaria; Hydrozoa; Leptothecata; Lafoeidae. The record is from RNAcentral.
AAUUACCCAAUCCCGACUCGGGGAGGUAGUGACAAGAAAUAACGAUACGGGGUCUUAAUAGGUCUCGCAAUUGGAAUGAGUACAAUUUAAAUCCUUUAACGAGGAUCAAUUGGAGGGCAAGUCUGGUGCCAGCAGCCGCGGUAAUUCCAGCUCCAAUAGCGUAUAUUAAAGUUGUUGCAGUUAAAAAGCUCGUAGUUGGAUUUCGGAUUGGGCCAGUUGGUCGGCCGCAAGGUCUGUUACUGACUGGUUCGGUCUUCUUCGCAAAGACUGCGUGUGCUCUUCAUUGAGUGUACGUAGGAUUUACGACGUUUACUUUGAAAAAAUUAGAGUGUUCAAAGCAGGCUAUCGCUUGAAUACAUGAGCAUGGAAUAAUGGAAUAGGACUUUGGUUCUAUUUUGUUGGUUUCUAGGACCGAAGUAAUGAUUAAGAGGGACAAUUGGGGGCAUCCGUAUUUCGUUGUCAGAGGUGAAAUUCUUGGAUUUACGAAAGACGAACAACUGCGAAAGCAUUUGCCAAGAGUGUUUUCAUUAAUCAAGAACGAAAGUUAGAGGAUCGAAGACGAUCAGAUACCGUCCUAGUUCUAACCAUAAACGAUGUCGACUAGGGAUCAGCGGGCGUUAUUGUACGACCUCGUUGGCACCUUACGGGAAACCAAAGUUUUUGGAUUCCGGGGGAAGUAU